CGGCAGGCUUAACACAUGCAAGUCGAACGCGUGUAGCAAUACACGAGUGGCGCACGGGUGCGUAACGCGUGGGAACCUACCCUAUAGUACGGAAUAACCCAGGGAAACUUGGGCUAAUACCGUAUACGUCCUUCGGGAGAAAGAUUUAUCGCUAUGGGAUGGGCCCGCGUCAGAUUAGGUAGUUGGUAGGGUAAUGGCCUACCAAGCCGACGAUCUGUAGCUGGUCUGAGAGGAUGAUCAGCCACACUGGGACUGAGACACGGCCCAGACUCC
Molecule: ribosomal RNA, 273 nt
Filed under: uncultured bacterium
Lineage: Bacteria
Description: partial 16S ribosomal RNA
Rfam family: Bacterial small subunit ribosomal RNA
Source: RNAcentral